CUAGAAUCCCCCCGCAGAACUUUAAGGAGGCUGAAUCUUCCCUCCACUGGGCUUCACUUUAGACUAUCCUUGCUUUCAGGCCCCACAAAGCCCAAGGAAAGACUUUUCCCUUUGAAGUACAGCUUCUCCCUCAGAGAAGGUUGGUUGUGUGGAGCCUUUCAUGUAUAUCAGGAGAACUUCUUUUACGCUCCGGAGUCGUCUAUGACCAAAUGAAAAUCACGGAGGAGACAGAUUUUAAAUGAGAGGAAAUGAAGGGUUUAAGCUGAGCUGAACACAAAUUCUAAGCCCAGAAGCAGAGCACAUGUAAAGAAGAAGGCUGCAAGCUUGGAACUGUGUUCUUAACUGUGGGAGCCCCGCUGAGCACACUGGGAAAUGGCCAUUCUUAGGCCUGGUUUCACAACAUCACCAGGUGUUUCCAGUUAUCUCAAAGGGGUAUCAUGAAGUUUACAAAGCAGAAUAUAAUUUAAAUUCUUGGGAAUAUAAAAAGCAAUUAUU
Molecule: long non-coding RNA, 495 nt
Organism: Hyaena hyaena (striped hyena)
Lineage: Eukaryota; Metazoa; Chordata; Mammalia; Carnivora; Hyaenidae
Exons: 3
Source: RefSeq, a predicted model, not a curated record